RNAcentral lists this long non-coding RNA (869 nucleotides) under Physcomitrium patens. RNAcentral's name for it is "long non-coding RNA (PPAT_LNC003289)". Lineage: Eukaryota; Viridiplantae; Streptophyta; Bryopsida; Funariales; Funariaceae. The record is from RNAcentral.
UGACAGAGAAUCCACGUCGUUGACACCGUGGGGAGGUGUGAGAUAGCUGGAAACAUUCUAUCCACUCUUGCACUGAACGUUUGCGUUUGUUUUUUCGUGCUUCUCUCUCCAGGAUUACCCGAAGGCGACCAGAUUAAAACAAACUGUUCGAACCUUUUGGAGCUAAAAAAACAAAAAUCCCUCGAUAUGAAUGAACAUAUAUUUCAAAUAUUACUCGUCUACAUGCCCAGUCUUGAUUCUUGGUGUUCCCAAUCUUCAGGUUCAAUGGCGAGUGACAUGCCUUGGAAUCGAAAACCCAUGCGUGAAGGGGUAAAAAUAAAAUUGGGGCACUUGUUGAGGAUUUAGCUGCCGAACACUUACAGUGGGGACACGAUCUCAGGCACCCCGAACUGGUGCGAUCUAGUAUUUUGGACUGUUUCAAUCGUUGACUAAGUUAACUGUUGAUUAGCACCCGAUUCACGGGAUUAGCUGCUUCUGUGAUUCAUGCAGGCAAGCUAAUUCUGGAGCUGAAGCGGAUAUUUGGUUCAAUGCAUACAUGUUUAUAUUGUGGUUAUUUAUACCAAACAUUAAACUGAUUUGGUGAGAUGAUCCAUAAUUUUCGUAUAAGAAUCUGCCGCUUUCAUGGGAAGGUUGAUGUCUGAAGCCGAUUUCUGACGAUUAUAUUGGAACAUACGCAUUUUAGGUUUUCAGUCUGCUGCAUGAAAUGUGCAGUAGGGCAGAGUUAACUGGUCAGGGGGCUUUCUCUGUGACAUAUUUGAGUGUACUCAGUUUGUACUUCAAAUGACACAAAAGUUGCAUUGGAUGUACUGAAUCAGACCACGGACGCUUUGUGGUGAGUUUGUCUGAGGGACAGAAUGCCUAACCCGUAC